UACGUAGGUGGCAAGCGUUGUCCGGAAUUAUUGGGCGUAAAGGGCGCGUAGGCGGCCUUCUAAGUCAGAUGUGAAAUCCCUGGGCUUAACCCGGGUCGUGCAUUUGAAACUGGAAGGCUUGAGUGCAGGAGAGGAAAGUGGAAUUCCUAGUGUAGCGGUGAAAUGCGUAGAUAUUAGGAGGAACACCAGUGGCGAAGGCGACUUUCUGGACUGUAACUGACGCUGAGGCGCGAAAGCGU
RNAcentral lists this ribosomal RNA (239 nucleotides) under uncultured bacterium. RNAcentral describes it as "partial 16S ribosomal RNA". It matches the Rfam family "Bacterial small subunit ribosomal RNA", at positions 524 to 762 of the family's 1533-position model. The record is from RNAcentral.